CUCAGGGUCAGGGACAGGCAGAGUUCAGUAAUCCAGAGGGGGCAAGGUACAGGACGGCAGGCAGGCUCAGGGUCAGGGACAGGCAGAGUUCAGUAAUCCAGAGGGGGUAAGGUACAGGACAGAAGGGUGGCUCAGGGGCAGGUAGAGUGGUCAGUCAGGCGAGAAAAGAGAGACUAGAAAAAGCAGCAGCUGACAUGACGAACACUGGUAAACUUGACAAAUAAGAGGAACUGGCAACAGACAAACAGAAAACACAGGUAUAAGUACACAGGGGAUAAUGGGGAAGAUGGGUGACACCUGGAGGUGGUCGAGACAAGCACAAUGACAGGUGAAACAGAUCAGGGAGUGACAGG
This is a long non-coding RNA of Oncorhynchus tshawytscha (Chinook salmon), 353 nucleotides long. NCBI's taxonomy places the organism in Eukaryota, Metazoa, Chordata, Actinopteri, Salmoniformes, Salmonidae. The record is from Ensembl.